CCUACGGGAGGCAGCAGUGGGGAAUAUUGGACAAUGGGGGCAACCCUGAUCCAGCAAUGCCGCGUGAGUGAUGAAGGCCUUCGGGUUGUAAAGCUCUUUUGGCGGGGACGAUGAUGACGGUACCCGCAGAAUAAGCCCCGGCUAACUUCGUGCCAGCAGCCGCGGUAAUACGAAGGGGGCAAGCGUUGUUCGGAAUUACUGGGCGUAAAGGGCGCGUAGGCGGCUUACCAAGUCAGGCGUGAAAUUCCCGGGCUCAACCUGGGGGCUGCGCUUGA
Molecule: ribosomal RNA, 275 nt
Filed under: uncultured bacterium
Lineage: Bacteria
Description: partial 16S ribosomal RNA
Rfam family: Bacterial small subunit ribosomal RNA
Source: RNAcentral